Molecule: long non-coding RNA, 2233 nt
Filed under: Fukomys damarensis (Damara mole-rat)
Lineage: Eukaryota; Metazoa; Chordata; Mammalia; Rodentia; Bathyergidae
Description: lncRNA (ENSFDAG00000027254.1)
Source: RNAcentral
GCUUGUGUUUUUGGUUUGUUUUGUUUUUCUGAGACAGCCUCUCCCUAUAUAAUUCAGGCUGGCCUUGAAUUCACUAUGUAACCCAGGUUGACCUUGAACUCAUGGUGAUCCUCCUGCCUCAGCCUCCAGAGUGCUGGCAUUGUAGGUUUGCACCAUCACACCUGGCUCAACAUUAAUUCUUAAAACUAAAUACAUGAGCUGGGUAUAGUAGCACAUGCCUGUCAUGCUAGCAUUUUGGGAGGCUGAGACAGGAGGAACACCAGUUCAAGCCUAGCCUGACAACUGAGUGAUUUUGUGAGAUGUGGCUCAGUGCAAAGGCUCAAUCCCCAGCAACACACACACACACAUAUAUAAUCAUUGCAGUGGCCAGAAGCCAUUGUCCAAAGCACUGGCACCCAGCCUACAUUGAGGGCAGUCUCCUUCCCAAGGACCGGGGCGUGCUCGGCUGGCCGCACCUGGCAGUCCUGGCUGGGAUGCUAUUUACCCAGCGGUGACGGAAACCACUCCCUCUUUGCACAGAAGAAUUAAGCUACCAAGGACCGUGGUCGUCUCCGUUGGCAUCAUGGUCUUCAGUUUCCAAUCUUGAGGUGACUCUCGACCUGCCAUGUGGGCAUGUUUUACAGUUUUAAUUAUUUUUAUUGACAAAAAAAGUUCAUUCAGUCCUUGCCUGGUCUUUUAUCGUGUUUUUCUCUCAGACAUAAAAUGAGUGAAAGGAGCCUUCUGCUCUCGCGGUUUCAGUUUUGCCUCUAAAAUGCUGUGUUCGGGCGAAUGCUGCUGCCCCUUCCUUGGGGAAGACGCCCCUGACUGCGCUCAUGCUCACCUCGGUCAGCCACGGCCAGGUCUUCUCUCGGCAGACCCAUCCCACACGGGGUCCUUGUCCCUUCUGAAGGAGCGAGGACCAUGGCCACAGGCAACACCACCACAGGUGAUGUGCAGGCGCAGGGAAACGCUUCUGAGGUGUGUAGAAUGGAGCCCGGCACAAGGUAAGUCUCUGUUACAGAACCAUCGCUAUCAACACGGGCAUCACCGCUGUUUGUGUGACACCAGCUUAGUGAACCAGGAAAGACACACGAGUUUUCAUCCUGAAAACUCAAGACACGCGCAAGCCACAUGAUCCCACAGAACGGCCAUGGGGAAGGUAGAAAUUUCGAGAGCUGUGCCCUGGUCACAGUUCCAGGAAACUAAGGGCGCAGUGUCUGUGCAUACUUUGUGUUUUCUCUCCAAUCUUCUCAUCAGAUUCACACAUUGACAUCUUACUCUACAUAAUGGGGGCUGGGCGCUGAAAAUUUUUAAAGUUUAAAACUCAGAUCAAUACUGACUGCCCAAUAAAUCUGCUUCAACCUCAGAUUGAGGUCAAAGCCUUUGCAUUACAGAAACCUCUCUGUUACAUUAAAAUGCAGUGAGGAGCCAUUCGCACAGUGAAGAAUUCCAUCCCUGGCCUCCUGCAUCACCUUUUCCUACAGAGCAGCAGAACUCCGGAGGCUCCACCUCUGUGAGCUCCAGACCUCAGUUCCUCCUGAACACUCCACACUCUCUGCCCUCUGCACUUCCUUCCCAGGACCUCCCGGGGAAGCCCAGGGCUCCGCAGGUAACCGAGGGUGAGGACUCCUCCCUUCCCUCCUUCCUUCAUGCUAAAAUAAUCCCCUUCAAAAACCCAGACUCCGAAACACAGCAGUGUGGUCAGGAAAACUGCUAAUGCCCCUGUCACCCUUCUCUUUAUCCGGAGCUCAAGGUCUAGUCAUUUGCAUGGAAUGUGUUUCAUUUUUCCCAAGAAGAAGCAGUUCCCUGCCAUUAUUCAGUCAUAAAGAAUGAAAUCGUGUCUUUUGCAGAAAAAAUGGAUGGAACCUGAAAAUAUGUUAAGCCACAUAAGCCAAACCAGAAAGACAAAUAUCACGUUUUCUCUCGUGGGGGUGGUGGAGAAUGAAAAGGAAAGGGCAGAGAGCAUAAGGGGGCUGGAGAUGUCAAAGAAUGUUAUACACAGGUGGGAAUGAGCCAAAAUGAAACUCAUUGCUCUGUAUAACUAAUAUGUACCACAGGAGCAAAAGAAAUGCUUAUUUACUAUGAGAGAGUAAACUGCCUAAAGCCAAAGGUACAUUUUGGGGAAAGAAGUCUGCCCUGGGGCUGGGGACAGGCUCAGAGGUAGAGCACUUGCCUAGUAUUCCAGAGGCCUUGCCUUGCCUCCCCAGCACCAGAGAGAGAGAGAGAGAGAGAGAGAGAGGAAGAGAAGGGAAGG